AUUCCAUCGCAAGGUUGAACCUAUAUUCAAGCUUGCUGGGUUUAAGUUGGAAGUAGUCAAAACCACAUCUGCAGGUCAUGCUAGGAAACUUGCAAGCACAGUAGACUUCAGCACAUGUCCUGAUGGUAUUAUAUGUGUUGGAGGUGAUGGAAUAGUGAAUGAGGUUUUAAACGGGUUACUCACUAGGGAUAACCAGAAAGAAGCAAUUUCGGUUCCAAUUGGAAUCAUUCCUGCUGGUUCUGAUAAUUCUUUGGUCUGGACCGUGCUUGGAGUUAGAGAUCCAGUGUCAGCUGCAAUAGCGAUUGUCAAGGGAGGGCUUACACCUACCGAUGUUUUUGCUGUUGAAUGGGUUCAAAGUGGUAGAAUUCACUUUGGAUCGACUGUCACCUACUUUGGCUUUGUGAGCGAUGUGCUGGAACUAUCUGAGAAAUACCAGAAGCGGUUUGGUCCAUUGCGCUACUUUGUCGCUGGGUUCCUCAAAUUCAUGUGCUUACCAAAGUACAAUUUUGAAGUGGAGUAUCUUCCAGCACUGAAAGAAGCAACUGGAGAAGGAAAAGCUUCAGUCAUUGAUAUGUCUGAACUGUAUACAGACAUUAUGAGAAGGUCAAGCAAGGAAGGGCUUCCCAGAGCCUCAAGCUUAUCAAGUAUUGAUUCAAUAAUGACCCCAAGCAGAAUGUCUGGAGCAGACUUGGAUACUACAUGUAGUAGCACUGAGCCAUCAGAAUAUGUGCGUGCAAUUGAUGCAAAAUCUAAGCGCUUGUCUGCUGGACGAAGUGGCAACACAACUUCUGAACCGGAAGUUAUCCACCCUCAGGUUCCACAUUCAGUAACACCGAAUUGGCCCAGGACUAGGUCCAAAUCAAAAACAGAUAAAGGGUGGGCUGGGUUGACUGCUGCAAAUGACCUCACUAGAUCUUCUUGGGCAAAUACAACUACAAAUGAUAAAGAGGAUAUCUCAUCAACAAUGUCAGACCCGGGGCCAAUUUGGGACGCAGAACCAAGAUGGGAUACAGAACCUCAUUGGAAUAUAGAAAAUCCUAUUGAAUUGCCUGGACCAGCAGAAGAUACUGAAGAUGUUGUUCGGAAAGAUAUUGUCCACAAGGCUGCUGAAGAAUGGGUGUCUACCAAAGGUCAAUUUCUUGGUGUCCUGGUAUGCAAUCAUUCAUGCAAGACAGUUCAAAGCUUAAGUUCACAGGUUGUGGCCCCAAAAGCAGAACCUGAUGACAACACGUUAGAUCUGUUGUUGGUCCAUGGAAGUGGAAGACUGAAGCUUAUAAGGUUCUUCUUGCUUCUGCAAAUGGGCCGACACCUUUCCCUCCCGUACGUUGAGUAUGUCAAGGUUAAGGCAGUAAAGGUUAAGCCUGGGAAGCACUCUAACAGUAGCUGUGGUAUUGAUGGUGAACUUUUCCCGGUAAAUGAGCAAGUGAUUUCGUCCUUGCUUCCAGAACAGUGCAGGCUUAUUGGUCGCGCCCCAGGUAAUUGCAAGUGAUUGAUGGAGCCCUUGUAUAUCUUCAAUAGGUCUCUCUUCCUUCCGGCUGCAACAUUCAGCUCUUUAUUCGUCAUUGAGGUCCUUGUAAAUUUUGUCAAUGUUGCUUUCAUUUUUCAAAAAUUAUAUGUCAGCUUAUAUCUUAACAUGUAUCCUCUGCCGUAACUUGUAUUUUUUUUGCCUUUUGAGUUGGCUUGCUAUGAAUAUUGGCCAUGUCCCUUGUAAUAGUUUG
RNAcentral lists this unclassified non-coding RNA (1718 nucleotides) under Hevea brasiliensis (rubber tree). Lineage: Eukaryota; Viridiplantae; Streptophyta; Magnoliopsida; Malpighiales; Euphorbiaceae. The record is from RNAcentral.